This 314-nucleotide long non-coding RNA is filed under the name Pan troglodytes (chimpanzee). RNAcentral's name for it is "long non-coding RNA NONPTRT004131". The record is from RNAcentral. Lineage: Eukaryota; Metazoa; Chordata; Mammalia; Primates; Hominidae.
CAAGAGUCAGGCCCUGCAAUUUCCAGACCAGCCCGACAUAGCUGAGGACUUGAAGGACCUGAUCACCCGUAUGCUGGACAAGAACCCCGAGUCGAGGAUCGUGGUGCCGGAAAUCAAGAUCCUGGUGAAGACCAUGAUACGUAAACGCUCCUUUGGAAACCCAUUCGAGGGCAGCCGGCGGGAGGAACGCUCACUGUCAGCGCCUGGAAACUUGCUCACCAAAAAACCAACCAGGGAAUGUGAGUCCCUGUCUGAGCUCAAGACCUAGAAAAUAAGUCCCCUUCCCGCCUGUUGCAAAGUAACGUAAGAGUUCC